GCCUUAGAAGUUCUUAAUGUUCUAUUCCAUUACAGCCAUGUUUGAACACGAUGUUCAAACAAACCGCCACUGAGCCAUGGAUGGCGAAUUGGCGGUGGUGGCGUACAGAUAUAUUAUGUAAAUUAGAACAUUUAGAACUUCUUAGGUUC
This 149-nucleotide non-coding RNA is filed under the name human gut metagenome. The record is from RNAcentral.